GAUGAACGCUGGCGGCGUGCCUAAUACAUGCAAGUCGAGCGAACAGAUAAGGAGCUUGCUCCUUUGACGUUAGCGGCGGACGGGUGAGUAACACGUGGGUAACCUACCUAUAAGACUGGGAUAACUUCGGGAAACCGGAGCUAAUACCGGAUAAUAUUUCGAACCGCAUGGUUCGAUAGUGAAAGAUGGUUUUGCUAUCACUUAUAGAUGGACCCGCGCCGUAUUAGCUAGUUGGUAGGGUAACGGCUUACCAAGGCGACGAUACGUAGCCGACCUGAGGGGGGGUAGGGCCACCCGGGACCUGAGACACGGUCCAGACUCCGAGGGAAGGCAGCGAUGGGAAAUCUUCGGAAAUGGGGGAAAGCCUGAGGGAGCAACGCCGCGGGGGUGAUGAAGGUCUGCGGGUCGUAAACUCUGUUAUUAGGGAAGAACAUACGUGUAAGUAACUGUGCACGUCUUGACGGUACCUAAUCAGAAAGCCACGGCUAACUACGUG
This 496-nucleotide ribosomal RNA is filed under the name uncultured bacterium. RNAcentral describes it as "partial 16S ribosomal RNA". It matches the Rfam family "Bacterial small subunit ribosomal RNA", at positions 28 to 507 of the family's 1533-position model. The record is from RNAcentral.